This 479-nucleotide ribosomal RNA is filed under the name uncultured Hydrogenophaga sp. RNAcentral describes it as "bacterial SSU rRNA". It matches the Rfam family "Bacterial small subunit ribosomal RNA", at positions 9 to 487 of the family's 1533-position model. The record is from RNAcentral. Lineage: Bacteria; Pseudomonadati; Pseudomonadota; Betaproteobacteria; Burkholderiales; Comamonadaceae.
GAGUUUGAUCACUGGCUCAGAUUGAACGCUGGCGGCAUGCUUUACACAUGCAAGUCGAACGGCAGCACGGGAGCAAUCCUGGUGGCGAGUGGCGAACGGGUGAGUAAUGCAUCGAAACGUGCCCAGUCGUGGGGGAUAACGCAGCGAAAGCUGCGCUAAUACCGCAUACGAUCUAUGGAUGAAAGCGGGGGACCGUAAGGCCUCGCGCGAUUGGAGCGGCCGAUGUCAGAUUAGGUAGUUGGUGGGGUAAAGGCUCACCAAGCCAACGAUCUGUAGCUGGUCUGAGAGGACGACCAGCCACACUGGGACUGAGACACGGCCCAGACUCCUACGGGAGGCAGCAGUGGGGAAUUUUGGACAAUGGGCGCAAGCCUGAUCCAGCAAUGCCGCGUGCAGGAAGAAGGCCUUCGGGUUGUAAACUGCUUUUGUACGGAACAGAAAAGGCUCUGGUUAAUACCUGGGGCUCAUGCGGACCGAAG